UAGAGUAACUUGUUGAGUAAUAUUGAAAUGAAUAGUGUUAUUAUGGAAAUAAUUAAAUCCACUCAUGGAAAUGAUAAAGUUUGUUUCAAAGAUUUUAUGUACAUACGUCAAAAGGAUUGUAAGUAUUUUAUUAUAGAUGGAGAUGUUUAAAAUGUAUAGUUCGUUCAAAAGCUGGAUAGCUAUUUUAAAAACAUCCUAUACAAUUAAAAAUCCAAGAGAAAUCCACGAAUAUAAUCAUUCUGCAGAUAAAAAUGCUAUAGCUGCCAUAAAAAUUCAAAGAAAGAUAAAAAAAAGCUUUAGCGUCAAACGUAACUCCCGGCCAAAUAUUUUCCGAGGCAAUCAAAAAUUUAGCAGUAGAUAUUUUAGCUGAAUUGCUUAAGGAAGCUUAUAUUAAACGUACCAUUAGAAACCAUCGAAGUUAUCAUGAUCCAAACAAACCUCAAAACAUACAAGAAAUUGUUAUUCAUGGUGAAUGGGCAUUUAUUAAUAAUGAUAGAUUAUUAUUGAGGGACAAUGGUCUAGAGGCAUCUGAAAGAAUAGUUAUGUUUGCAACAGAUGAUCAUUUAAGACUCCUUACAGCAUCAGACACCUGGUACUUAGACGGGCAUUUCGGAUUGUCCCCAAAAUGUUUCUUACAAUUAUACGUAAUACUUAUAAAAAAAAAUGUAUUUUUAUCUUCAAUUUAUUGUAUUUUACCACAAAAAACUUAAUCAACAUAUGUGGAAAUUAUAAUGGAAGAAUGUGAUUUAUAUCUAAAAUUUAUAUCGACCA
Metopolophium dirhodum (rose-grain aphid) is the source of this 771-nucleotide long non-coding RNA. RefSeq lists it as uncharacterized. The transcript is spliced from 3 exons. The record is from RefSeq and is a predicted model, not a curated record. Lineage: Eukaryota; Metazoa; Arthropoda; Insecta; Hemiptera; Aphididae.